GAUGAACGCUGGCGGCGUGCCUAAUACAUGCAAGUCGAGCGAACAGAUGAGGAGCUUGCUCCUCUGACGUUAGCGGCGGACGGGUGAGUAACACGUGGAUAACCUACCUAUAAGACUGGGAUAACUUCGGGAAACCGGAGCUAAUACCGGAUAAUAUAUUGAACCGCAUGGUUCAAUAGUGAAAGACGGUUUUGCUGUCACUUAUAGAUGGAUCCGCGCCGCAUUAGCGAGUUGGUACGUUAACGGCUUACCAAGGCAACGAUGCGUAGCCGACCUGAGAGGGUGAUCGGCCACACUGGAACUGAGACACGGUCCAGACUCCUACGGGAGGCAGCAGUAGGGAAUCUUCCGCAAUGGGCGAAAGCCUGACGGAGCAACGCCGCGUGAGUGAUGAAGGUCUUCGGAUCGUAAAACUCUGUUAUUAGGGAAGAACAAAUGUGUAAGUAACUAUGCACGUCUUGACGGUACUUAAUCAGAAAGCCACGGCUAACUACGUG
This 497-nucleotide ribosomal RNA is filed under the name uncultured bacterium. Its description in RNAcentral is "partial 16S ribosomal RNA". It matches the Rfam family "Bacterial small subunit ribosomal RNA", at positions 28 to 507 of the family's 1533-position model. The record is from RNAcentral.